RNAcentral lists this ribosomal RNA (253 nucleotides) under uncultured bacterium. RNAcentral describes it as "partial 16S ribosomal RNA". It matches the Rfam family "Bacterial small subunit ribosomal RNA", at positions 524 to 776 of the family's 1533-position model. The record is from RNAcentral.
UACGUAGGGUGCGAGCGUUGCCCGGAUUUAUUGGGCGUAAGGGGCGCGUAGGCGGCUCGGCACGUCCGUUGUGAAAUCGCCCGGCUCAACUGGGCGGGGUCAGCGGAUACGGUCGAGCUUGAGCAAGCUAGGGGGUAAUGGAAUUCCCGGUGUAGUGGUGGAAUGCGUAGAUAUCGGGAGGAAGACCAGUGGCGAAGGCGGGUCUCUGGACAGUUCCUGACGCUGAGGCACGAAGGCCAGGGGAGCAAACGGG